GUACAGUAAUCGCUCAUUAUUGGAAUAGGAAGAAACUACAACUAUAUAAUUAUAGUAAACAUGAGUCAAAAUAUGUGAAAUAUUGCUAAACACGGGCAAACCCACUGCCAAUCCUAUGUAAACCUACUGAUACUAGCUGCAUGUCACCUCACAUUGGUGAACACUGCAAAACUACAACUAUAAUAAUAUUUAUAGUAUUCUCUACUACAUACUCGAUAAACAUUAUAUGAAACCAGAGGAGGAACGCCAGGGUCAAUAAGGUCACGUUUAAUGAAGGAUUAAACAUUCUUGUUCUAGGUUCUUGACCUUUGCUGCAUAUAGCAGCUUAGCGCUUCUGUUCUUUAUUAGCCUGCUUGGGAAGCUUACUCUAUCCAAUGCAGUAAGCCAGUACAUCAAAAUUUAUACCCUAGCCUAAUUUUCCAAUCUUGUGGUUUCGAAGAAUGUAAUAAAAGGUCAUUAAAUCCUGGAUCUAUUCUCUCAAGCUGAUUCCUCUGGGGCGCGAUAGCUCAACCGAUUCCUCUUGUGAUUAUAAAGAGGAUUAAGCUAGUGGUAGUGUAUAAACCCAGGGGCGCGAGGGUAUACUCAGUUUUACAUGUAAAACACAGGGCCAGUUUUAAUUAAUGACUUUUUGACCCUGGCAUUCCUCCUCUGAUAUGAAACAGAAGGGGUCGGUGAAACUCACUUGAGGCAUUUGAUACACUGCAUGCGUCCUAUCAAGAUUCUGUUGGUAGAAUGUAAAUCAGAGAUCAGUGUCCACCAAUAUGCUAGCUGUGAGGUGACAGCUAGCUAUAUAUUAUACUCUAGAUACGGGGGGGUGGGGCUUGCUACAGAUUCCCCCCUGGGAUUAGGCCAUAACACGAUGCCUGUGACACACCAUAGAUAGAAGAGUAAGAGGGAUUGGUAACGGAAGCAGUUCACGUGAUCAUUUUACAUUGAAUCUGCAGUAAAACCUCGAAAACUAUCCGCGUUACGCCCUAUAAACGAGGCUAUUUUGCCGGGUAACUCGCUCAAAAUAAAUAAGAUACGGGGGGGGUGGGGCUUGCUACAGAUUCCCCCCUGGGAUUAGGCCAUAACACGAUGCCUGUGACACACCAUACGUAGAACCGCAAAGUUAGUCAUUAGGGUCGCUUUUUAGCUGCAGCUAUUUUCUAAAAUGCAGUCACCUCGCUAUUUCGGCUAAGCUGCACUGUUCCAAGGGUGACCAGAUUAACGAGAGUCUACUGUAUACCACCAUGACCGUAUUGAAGUGUCUGAAAAUUCAGCACUCCAAUUUAGCAUUUAGCUUCUCAUUCAUGUACAUAUGACACCAGUGGUCACAAUUACAAUGUGGCUGAUUUUGGAAUUAUAUACUUACUACUUACUGUGUACAUUGAUGAUCACUGAUUGCUUUCUACUCACAGUUCAUUGAUAGCCCUGACGAUAGCCCUGACGAUAUUUCUGACGAUAUUUCUGAACUAUUAUUAUCCUAACAGAUCUUUCCUGUUCAUCAGAGACCGGCCCUGCAGUUUCUCACCAAAUAAUAGUCAAACUUGAGCUAAAACGUUAAUUGUAGUUGUACGUGUGUGUGUCUCCUUGAUACAUGUAGGUAUAGGUAACUUAACAUUUCAUGUCUUUUUGUAUGUUUAUUUUUCUGUUGGUCUACAAGUAUAGCCCUUCAGCCUCACAUCUUGUAAAUCAAACCUAACGCAUUUUUAUAGAAAGCCCAUAAUGUACAUCUGUAGGUAGCUAGAUCUGUACAUGCAUGUAUAAUGUCUGUAUUGAUGAUUUUGUCAAAC
Molecule: long non-coding RNA, 1775 nt
Organism: Halichondria panicea
Lineage: Eukaryota; Metazoa; Porifera; Demospongiae; Suberitida; Halichondriidae
Exons: 2
Source: RefSeq, a predicted model, not a curated record